CACAUUGUACCUUGGCAUCAUGACAAGUACCUAAAAUGACUGCUUCCAAACAUUGGGGAGUGACUGUUCCUUCACGGUCAUUCGCUAUGGGCCCCAGAACAGCUCCCGGGGGACCUGGUGUUAGAUGAUGCCCAGUGAAUUUUUACGUAUUAGACAAGCUUCAGAUCCGAUCCUUGAACCUCCUUUAAAAUUGAGCCAAAGGAAGGACAGGAAAUUGCCUUCAAGAGGAAACCAUGCAGCGGUGGAAAAUGAAGUUGCACAAAGUCCCUGGACAACACGGAAGCAGCUCACAAUACACUGUUCUCCCAACAGAGACCUCAGCUCACCCACAGGUUUCAAGUCCUGUCCCCAAGAUGUCUUCUGAACGGGCCGUGGAAGGCCCAGACAAGGCCCAGGCCCGCCCUCAGCUGACCUGGGGAAGGAAGGCCGGGGUCCUCGGGCUGCUGUUAUGUCGGUCCCCCCAGUGUCCAGACGAGAGCUCCAUGGCGUCGUGGACACCCACCCACCGCACGGCCAGCCUCCUGCCAGACAGCCUGCGAUCGAUCUGUUUUUCAGUCACACCUGUAUCACCACGGAAGCAGCAAUCUUCCUCAAAUUGCUCACAGACACUCCUUCUGCUACA
Molecule: long non-coding RNA, 622 nt
Organism: Hyaena hyaena (striped hyena)
Lineage: Eukaryota; Metazoa; Chordata; Mammalia; Carnivora; Hyaenidae
Exons: 3
Source: RefSeq, a predicted model, not a curated record